This 211-nucleotide long non-coding RNA is filed under the name Lathyrus oleraceus (garden pea). Its description in RNAcentral is "Pisum sativum (pea) long non-coding RNA (PSAT_LNC000137)". The record is from RNAcentral. Lineage: Eukaryota; Viridiplantae; Streptophyta; Magnoliopsida; Fabales; Fabaceae.
AAAAUCUUGAGAAAUAAACAAAUCAAGGAUGAAGAAAAAAAAAAUGAUCGAACCUAUACAAAUAUUGAAAUAUACAUGGGAAAUAUGAAAUGUUAUAAUCAACUCUUUUAUAAAAGAGUCAUUUGUUGAUAUUCCAAUUGGAUGAUCCAUCUAUCAUUCCUCAAGUCAACACACUUUGCAACCAUCUAAAAGAGAAAACCAAAAAUCUUGC